This is a long non-coding RNA of Mesocricetus auratus (golden hamster), 687 nucleotides long. RefSeq lists it as uncharacterized. The record is from RefSeq and is a predicted model, not a curated record. NCBI's taxonomy places the organism in Eukaryota, Metazoa, Chordata, Mammalia, Rodentia, Cricetidae. The transcript is spliced from 3 exons.
GUGGUGGGGGUGGUGCAGAUCCAGAGAAGUUGGCGCUGCAUUGUUUGGGGAUGACAGCGCCCCCAGCAGCACGAAAGGGUCCCGACCUCCCAGAAGAGCAGGUGCUGACUGCCCAAGUCUGCAAGCAGCAGAGCCAUUGAAGGUUAUAACUAGAAUCCCGGUACCUGCUCGCGGGCAGUGCGCAGCACAGGGAUCGGAACGAGGGCAAAAAGCCACUCCUGGGCUCAGGCUAGAGAGGAUCUGCUCGGCCAGACUGCUACGCGACUGCGAUCAGGAGAAGGUUGCCGCAAACUCUGAAACCUUGACCUAUGGCGGGGACUGACUCAGCCGGGGCCGCAGAGGCCGUCGUGGGUUUGACCGCAGCUGAGAUGGGCGGAGAGACGGUCAUCGAGACCGGGAGAAAAAAAAAACGUCUGGCGUUGUAGUCUCCGGAAGGGAACUUCGGGGCACCCCUGCGCACCCACCUCGGCCGCCAGCCACCCUGACUCAGAUGCCCCACCCCCACCGUCAGUCUCCGGGUGGCUCAACCCCCGCCCCCUGCGCGCUUCCUCUCCUUCCUCACCGCACUCUAACUCCGAUCUCUCCAGCUUUCCGAACCCCGAGGUUCCCAGCCAGUUCGAGUGUCAGAGCCGAGAGGACCCAACUGGGGACCGAGGGGGUCUGACCGCGGAAAGCACGGGCUGCUGA